Molecule: ribosomal RNA, 253 nt
Filed under: uncultured bacterium
Lineage: Bacteria
Description: partial 16S ribosomal RNA
Rfam family: Bacterial small subunit ribosomal RNA
Source: RNAcentral
UACGGAGGGUGCAAGCGUUAUCCGGAUUUACUGGGUUUAAAGGGUGCGUAGGCGGGCUUUUAAGUCAGUGGUGAAAUCCCGAAGCUCAACUUCGGAACUGCCAUUGAUACUAUUAGUCUUGAAUAUCGUUGAGGUAGGCGGAAUGUGUCAUGUAGCGGUGAAAUGCUUAGAUAUGACACAGAACACCGAUUGCGAAGGCAGCUUACUAAACGAUGAUUGACGCUGAGGCACGAAAGCGUGGGGAUCAAACAGG